CAUGAAAGUGGACAGUUACAGCUUUUAACUUGCAAUACAAGUUAAAUUCUAACAUUUUCUCGCUCUUCAGUCCACAAAUUUCUUUGCGACUGAAUGAAGUGUCCCUUGAAAAUUAGAACUGUCUCUCCAGUACAAUUCCUCCGCUAAUUAUUAGUUUCAAAAGUAAUAAUUUCUAAUGUUUGUGACCGGCCUAUGCAUUACUAUCUAGGAAGGAAUAUACGUGGAAGAUGCUACUUGGGUACGUCGCUUUCUUUUCAUUGUCAUAUUCAUUGUGGAAUCUACAUUUAUAAGUAGAAUAAAUCUUCACAGAAGCCACUGUUAUGCUACAUCCAUUGCACACAUUACGUGUAGACCGGGUUCACUAACAAUGCUAAACCGGUUUUCUCCAUUUCAUCUCUCUCAGAGCUCGCGCCCCUCAUUCAACCAUUUACCCCCCAACCCCAAGCCCUCCCAUCUCAAAGCUCUCAAAGCACGACCUCAGCUCUCACCACCACAACCUCAGCCCUCUCAACUCUCAAGGAGAUCAAUCCCCCAGCCCUCGAUCCCAUCUCUCCACCAAUCGAGUCCCCAAGCCGUCCUAUCUCUCCACCAAUGAGUCCCCAAGCCCUCCAGAGUAUUUCUCCACCAAUGAAGCCCUCGGCCCCUUGGUUCCUUCAAUCCAUCAACGAAGCCCUCAGUCCACCAAAGCCCUUAGAUGUGCGGGAGGGGAUGUUACUUAUGUUUCUGGCAGAUUAGUCAUUGCUGCAGCUGGAAAGAGUUCCAAUGGUAUUAAUGUGGUUAUAUGGGAUACAUUGGUUCCCCCUUCAACCUUUCGAGUUUCCAUUAUAUAUCAUGAAGGUUUUCCUUUUACUUUGAAACUGCACAUGGUGAAACUGGCUAUACAACUCUAACUUUGGUGCUGGAAUGACAGAGGAUUCACUGAAGAUGUUACUCUUUUUGCAAAGAUUUUGAUUGAAUCUCAAAAUGUCCUUUUAUGUUAUGUAUUUAGAUAGCCACAAUAUUUGUAUAACUGGAAUGAUCCUGAAGUUAUGAGAAUCUGUUCAUGUACAUGAUGGCAUUUAUUUUAUGAACAUGUGGUUAAUUUCAAUGGAAUAUCUAGGCAAUUUGAGCUUCAUCCA
Carya illinoinensis is the source of this 1118-nucleotide long non-coding RNA. RefSeq lists it as uncharacterized. The record is from RefSeq and is a predicted model, not a curated record. The transcript has 2 exons. NCBI's taxonomy places the organism in Eukaryota, Viridiplantae, Streptophyta, Magnoliopsida, Fagales, Juglandaceae.